Molecule: long non-coding RNA, 212 nt
Organism: Copidosoma floridanum
Lineage: Eukaryota; Metazoa; Arthropoda; Insecta; Hymenoptera; Encyrtidae
Source: RefSeq, a predicted model, not a curated record
AAUUGACUAUUUUUUUUUUUUAAUUUAAAGAUUUCUCAAGAAAAAAAUGAAAAUUCGAAUAUUGAAGAAAACACUUGAUAAGUUUUCUAUCUAUAGACGCACACAAGAUGCUUGAACUUUUGGGUUGCUCGAGAAGAAGGGAUGGAUUUUCUUUAGGCUGCUCCUUGGUUCCCUUGUUGAAUUGACCACUUAAAAAUACUCCACAGGAGCAC